This 850-nucleotide long non-coding RNA is filed under the name Theobroma cacao (cacao). RNAcentral's name for it is "long non-coding RNA (TCAC_LNC002820)". The record is from RNAcentral. Lineage: Eukaryota; Viridiplantae; Streptophyta; Magnoliopsida; Malvales; Malvaceae.
GAGACCAUCUUUUUCCGGCCCAGUAAAUUAAAAAGAAGAAACCAAACCCUAAAAGCAAUUGAUUCCCCUUUUCUUUCCAACGGGUUGGUGGAUUUUCUGAGGUUCGAGACUGGAAAAGGUGGGCCUGGUGGUUGGUGGUUGAUUCAACAGCACAAUAGCGGUUCUAUAUUCGAGUCUAGAACUCGUUGAAAAGAUCAAAAGAAAGCCAUGGAACUUGUGGAGUUGUUAUAUUGGACAAGCAAUCUCUCUCUUUCCUUGUUAAACCAAGACAAUAUUAGCGUAACGAUUCGGGUUCAAGUAUUACUGAUUCAGUCGUUUUUCGAGUUUAAAUUAUGUGAAUUUCAAAAAUAUAUGCAAACUAAACUAUGUAUAUCUCCUGUAUUUUCUAAUGAAUUACAGAUUUGAAGUCUUUAAUCUUGCCUAGUGGGAUUGUGGUGGUUUGUUGUUGUCAAAAGGCAAAGACCCAAAGAGGAGAGCACCACAAAUAUCAGUCAAAACUCAAAAAUGGUUGGAAAGGACCGGCAACCCCCAAAAUUUCUGGCUAAGCGUACAGAAAGAGAAGAAGACUUUUCUUGUUUUCUGGAAUAGGAACAACGAAGAUGAAUGGGUACCCAAACUUCCUCUAGGCCUUUUAGACCAUUCCUUCAAUACUUGACUUCACUGAGAUGAGAAAAUGAAACAAUAUUUCCAGGGACCACGUUUCUGUGAUCUUUUUUUUCUGUAAUGGAUCAUCAUUUUAGUGGGAUUUUAUGACUUUUUCUCUAUAAAUCCGUCAAUGCAGUUUGUCGGCCAUCGUCACAAUUCAUCAGUUGAAAACAAAAAAAUGGCUAAGCUUCGUAUUUCUGUACAG